Molecule: ribosomal RNA, 492 nt
Filed under: uncultured bacterium
Lineage: Bacteria
Description: partial 16S ribosomal RNA
Rfam family: Bacterial small subunit ribosomal RNA
Source: RNAcentral
AGUGAACGCUGGCGGUAGGCCUAACACAUGCAAGUCGAACGGCAGCACAGUAAGAGCUUGCUCUUACGGGUGGCGAGUGGCGGACGGGUGAGGAAUACAUCGAAAUCUACUUUUUCGUGGGGGAUAACGUAGGGAAACUUACGCUAAUACCGCAUACGACCUACGGGUGAAAGCAGGGGAUCUUCGGACCUUGCGCGAUUGAAUGAGCCGAUGUCGGAUUAGCUAGUUGGCGGGGUAAAGGCCCACCAAGGCGACGAUCCGUAGCUGGUCUGAGAGGAUGAUCAGCCACACUGGAACUGAGACACGGUCCAGACUCCUACGGGAGGCAGCAGUAGGGAAUAUUGGACAAUGGGCGCAAGCCUGAUCCAGCCAUACCGCGUGGGUGAAGAAGGCCUUCGGGUUGUAAAGCCCUUUUGUUGGGAAAGAAAGGCAGCAGGUUAAUACCCCGCUGUUCUGACGGUACCCAAAGAAUAAGCACCGGCUAACUUCGUG